This 73-nucleotide transfer RNA is filed under the name Paramuricea clavata. It matches the Rfam family "tRNA". From Rfam's summary of the family: Transfer RNA (tRNA) molecules are approximately 80 nucleotides in length. Their secondary structure includes four short double-helical elements and three loops (D, anti-codon, and T loops). Lineage: Eukaryota; Metazoa; Cnidaria; Anthozoa; Malacalcyonacea; Plexauridae. The record is from Rfam by way of RNAcentral.
GCCUCUGUAGCUCAGUUGGUUAGAGCGCUGCUCCGGAAUCGCAGGGCCGUAGGUUCGAUUCCUAACAGAGGAC